UACAGAGCCCACAAACGUUAUCCGGAUUCAUUGGGCGUAAAGCGUCCGCAGGUGGUGUAGAAAGUCAGUAGUCAAAUCCUGAGGCUUAACUUCAGGACUGCUAUUGAUACUCCUACACUUGAGACCGGGAGAGGCAAGCGGAACACACGGUGUAGUCGUAAUAAGCGCUGAUAUCGUGUGGAACACCAAAGGCGAAGGCAGCUUGCUAGAACGUGUCUGACACUCAUGGACGAAAGCGUGGGGAGCGAAUGGG
This 253-nucleotide unclassified non-coding RNA is filed under the name Patescibacteria group bacterium. RNAcentral's name for it is "contains 16S-23S intergenic spacer region". It matches the Rfam family "Bacterial small subunit ribosomal RNA", at positions 524 to 776 of the family's 1533-position model. The record is from RNAcentral.